UUAACUAGUGGAAUCUGAAGGAAGUUGGAGGCAAAAUUCCGACCCAAGGAACACGAACAUCAUCAGGCAUGGCAUGGGAUAUGGGAUGAGUUAACGUUACAAAACGAAGUCCAAUCAACUACACGGUCAUACCAUUGUAAAUGAUGUGGGUACAUGGUAGGAAAGUAAAUCGC
Non-coding RNA from Paenibacillus sp. Soil787, 173 nucleotides. The record is from Rfam. NCBI's taxonomy places the organism in Bacteria, Bacillati, Bacillota, Bacilli, Caryophanales, Paenibacillaceae.